AUAACAUUCUAGAGAGAGAAAGGGAGGAGAAAUUUAGAGAGAAAUCAAUUUUUGACCAAAAUCUAAGCCCCGAAUCGCGAAGCUCAUGAAGGGAAAAGUGUUGUACGCUGCGUUGUCUUCAAUUUGAGCUAAAAAUCAACCAAGGAGGAGGGUGAUAACGUGGUGGCUGAAUUCUUAAGAUUUUGGCGAAUUUGAAACUUGAUUUUGGAGACGUGUAUGAAGCGGAAAAGGUCAACAGACAGACGGGUUUAAUCCCUAGGAGCUUCACCAGCUGUUCCUUGAGAGUGCUCCAGUUGAUCCGGAGCUUCAGCCUAUUGGUACUACUUUUAUGUAUAUAAUCG
Molecule: long non-coding RNA, 341 nt
Organism: Lycium barbarum (goji berry)
Lineage: Eukaryota; Viridiplantae; Streptophyta; Magnoliopsida; Solanales; Solanaceae
Exons: 3
Source: RefSeq, a predicted model, not a curated record